AACUGAAACAUCUAAGUACCUGGAGGAAAGGACAUCAACCGAGACUCCGCUAGUAGUGGCGAGCGAACGCGGACCAGGCCAGUCAUAAAUGUGAGACAACCAGAACCUGUCAGGAAAGCAGGGCCUCAGAGGGUGAUAGCCCCGUAUGGGUAAUGCAAACAUUUAUGCUCGAGUAAGGCGGGACACGUGAAAUCCUGUCUGAACAUGGGGGGACCACCCUCCAAGCCUAAGUACUCCUCAGCGACCGAUAGUGAACCAGUACCGUGAGGGAAAGGUGAAAAGCACCCCGACGAGGGGAGUGAAAUAGACCUGAAACCGGACACCUACAAACAGACGGAGCCCAAGACUUGUUCUGGGUGACGUCGUACCUUUUGUAUUAUGGGCCAGCGACUUAAUUUAACGAGCAAGCUUAAACCGAUAGGUGUAGGCGUAGCGAAAGCGAGUCUUAAUAGGGCGCC
This 458-nucleotide ribosomal RNA is filed under the name uncultured bacterium. RNAcentral describes it as "bacterial LSU rRNA". It matches the Rfam family "Bacterial large subunit ribosomal RNA", at positions 191 to 696 of the family's 2925-position model. The record is from RNAcentral.